RNAcentral lists this ribosomal RNA (440 nucleotides) under uncultured bacterium. RNAcentral's name for it is "partial 16S ribosomal RNA". It matches the Rfam family "Bacterial small subunit ribosomal RNA", at positions 338 to 795 of the family's 1533-position model. The record is from RNAcentral.
CCUACGGGUGGCUGCAGUGGGGAAUAUUGCACAAUGGGGGAAACCCUGAUGCAGCGACGCCGCGUGAGUGAAGAAGUAAUUCGUUAUGUAAAGCUCUAUCAGCAGGGAAGAAGAUGACGGUACCUGAGUAAGAAGCCCCGGCUAACUACGUGCCAGCAGCCGCGGUAAUACGUAGGGGGCAAGCGUUAUCCGGAUUUACUGGGUGUAAAGGGAGCGUAGACGGCGCGGCAAGCCUGAUGUGAAAGCCCGGGGCGCAACCGCGGGACUGCAUUUGGAACUGUCGGGCUGGAGUGUCGGAGAGGUAGGCGGAAUUCCUAGUGUAGCGGUGAAAUGCGUAGAUAUUAGGAGGAACACCAGUGGCGAAGGCGGCCUACUGGACGGUGACUGACGCUGAGGCUCGAAAGCGUGGGGAGCAAACAGGAUUAGAUACCCCAGUAGUC